AUGGUUUCAUCUCCCAAGUUGGUAAGACAUAUAUUUCAUGUUUUAAAACAAUUUUUUAUGUUGGUCUUCCAAAAUUGCAUGUUUUGUGUGAUAUUCACUUUUGCUGAACUAGAAUACAUUGUUUAAGGGGCCAGCUGAAGAUAGAUUUGUGGCUUUUGCCUGCUUUCUGUUCUUCUGUGUGUUGUUGUCUCUUUGACACAUCCCCCUUUGCAUUCUCACUUUUAAUUCCAUUUUUUUUUUAAAAUCUUUUGUUAAUUAUAAGCAAGUAUAACCUUGUCCAAAUAUCUGUUCUUUUUGUCAGAAUUUGUAGCCCAUUUUAUGUCAAGGGACAGUUGACUUUGCUCUCAUAUAUGCUUUACAUGGCUUUAACUGAAUUGGUUUUGAAAUGAAAGGAAAUUUCUAUAGAUAAUAUUCACAGUUGAUAAAACAAAUGUUAUUGAAACUAAAUGUUCAUCCCUCAUGUAUUGACUUGUUUUCUACAAAAUUGCUUUGUUGUCAUUUUGAUGAGGUACAAUAAUCCUGUGGUCACUACAUUAAUUUUUGCCCAGCCUGCAUCUAAAUUUGAGGUGUUUAAUUUUUUUUCAAAAGUGACAUCUUUGUUAACAAUCUGUAAAUGAAAUAUAUUUUCCCUGAUUUUAACAUAAGAUGACUAAGAUUUGUAUGGUUAAAGGUCAUGGUCAAGGUCGUUGCCCCAGUGUUCAAGUUCUGUUUUUGGAUUGCCUUUUCUUAGUAACUAUACAUUAGAGGUUAACAAUGUUAUAGAUAUAGAUUUGUUCCGAUGAGUUUUAAGUUCAUCUGACAUUGUUAUAUAUCCUUGACUCCUUUUCCCUCUUCCGUAUUCCUUAUAAUAUCUUCGUUAAAUCUGAAUAACUUUAACUCUACUUUCUGCUAUAUAGAUGACGUUCUUUCACUAAACAAUUCAAAAUUUGGUGACUAUGUGGAACGCAUCUAUCCCAUCGAAUUGGAGAUAGAAGGAUACUACAGAUACAGUUAAGUCGGCUUCAUAUCUUGACUUACAUCUAGAAAUUGACAAUGAGGGUCGGUUGAAAACAAAACUUUACGACAAAAGAGAUGAUUUCAGCUUCCCAAUUGUGAACUUUCCAUUUCUAAGUAGCAACAUUCCAACAGCACCUGCAUACGGGGUAUAUAUCUCCCAAUUGAUACGAUAUUCCCGUGCUUGCAUUUCCUAUCAUGAUUUUCUUGAUAGAGGGUUACUGCUCACAAGGAAGCUAUUAAACCAAGAGUUCCAAAUGGUGAAGUUGAAAUCAUCCCUUUGUAAAUUUUACGGACGCCAUCACGAGUUGGUUGACCGUUAUGGAAUAACCGUUUCACAAAUGAUAUCGGAUAUGUUUCUUACGUCGUAACUACAAUCCCCUUCCCUUUCAUGAAUGUGACCUACCGAAUUAGACUAUUUACCGGAUUUGUAAUCACAUAAGCAACACGACGGGUGCCACAUGUGGAGCAGGAUCUGCUUACCCUUCCGGAGCACCUGAGAUCACCCCUAGUUUUUGGUGGGGUUCGUGUUGUUUAUUCUUUAGUUUUCUAUGUUGUGUCAUGUGUACUAUUGUUUUUCUGUUUGUCUUUUUCAUUUUUAGCCAUGGCGUUGUCAGUUUGUUUUAGAUUUAUGAGUUUGACUGUCCCUUUGGUAUCUUUCGUCCCUCUUUUAUAAUUGUGUAUAACUGUAUAUAGAUUUUUUUGCAUUGGUUUAAGAGUUACUUAGAAUGACUUCAUGUUUAAGUUUGAACAUUUCCUGUUGUUAUAAAUUUAGACUCAAGUAUUUGUACAUGUAGUUUGAUUUAAGACGUAUAUAAGUAAAGAUUACGUCAGGGCUAUUAUUCUGUUUGAAGUAUUUUUUACAUUAUGAUAAAUUAUUAUCUUGACAUUGGAAACUGAAAGAGUUGAUGAUUUUCUGUUCUUUAUUUGUCAGGUUUUGUUAAUUAAACAGUAAAAGGGGCUUGUGAUAGAUCCACAUUUACUUCAACAAUUACACAACAAAGAAGACAUGUGAUAGAUCGUAAUUUUCUUCAACAAUUACACAACAAAGAUUCAAACACAUCAUAUUACUAAGAGUCCUCACGUAUAGGCUAUUUUCUAGUGGCAGUCAUGAUUGCUAAUGAGACAACUAUCAAUUAUGAACAGAAAACGAAGCUGUGAACAAUUACAGGUCACACGUAAAACCUUUAACAAUGAGAAAUACCUAUACCGUAAAAAGUUGCACUUCUGUAAAUAUAGACAUGGCAAUUUGCCAAAGUAACUCCUCUUACAGCUAAAACUGCAACUUUUAUUAUCAAGUUUCAAAAAAAAAUUAUAUUCCAGAUGGAAAGUUCCUUUAUACUACUCUUUUUUCAAAGGUCAAAAUAAAUUAGGGCUGUGCGGCAUAUUUUCAACAUUUACAUGCCCUGAACUUCCAAGAGAUUAAAGAAAUUCUGUACUACCCCUCCCUUGACUUUGGGUCUUCUUCAGAACUCAAUUUAGCCACUAUCUAUGUGUAUUUAUACUGGUACCUUUCCCCUGUUAUGUCCUUAUGAGUUGAAACAGACAUCAUAUCUGGGAACCAGUGUGUAAACAAAAGAAAAUAUCUUUGAAUAUUAUAUAUCUCCCCAAAAAAAGUGUGGUUUGUAAAACAAUUGAAAAGAGAAAACCAAUAGCCUGAUAUAUACUGCAACAAAAGACAAAUAACAAAAAUGACAACAACCUACAACAUUAAUUGGAUUUCAGGCUUGCGACAGGCACUUAAAGAAUGUGGUAGGAUUAGAUGUGGUACGAAUGCCCAACUAGUGAAUAUAAGUCUCCUUCCUUCUCACCAUCCCCCUUAACCUGGGACAGGGGUAUGACAACACUAUAUAUUGAUAAUAAUUUACUACUGUAAGAUUUAUAACUUAUAUUGGAAGAAAACAGAUUUUUGGCACUAAAGUAAAAAAGAAUUUUAAGAUUAUUUCUCUUUAGAUUUACCAUAUUUUGCCAUUGUUCCUAUGAAAUCUAUUGUAAAAGCAAAAUAGUUGCAUAUUUUAUUGUCAGCUAUUUUUUUCCAUUAAUGUUUUAAUUUAAUUUGUUCAUAAAUUCUGCAUUUGUACAUUUUGUUGACAUAGUAUUUAUUUUUUCUUAGAACAAAUUAUGGUAUUGACCAGUGGCUAAAGAAUUGUUAAAAAUACUCAGUUUCUGCAUGAAGGGUAUUGAAAUUCCAAUAAGAAUCAAUUGAUGGAUAAAACCAUUCUGUAUUAAAAAAAUUCAGUUGGCAGGUGUUUAUAGAAAUUUCAUACAUGUAUUCAAAACAUCAAAAUUAUAUGCAUAUGUGUGAUUACCAUUGUUAAAAAAAAAUACUCUUGACUCCAGACAACACUUUAAAUUUUCUUUGACUCAUUUAAAACUGAAAAAGAACUUUUGUACAUUGAGGCAGGAUUCCAUACAUUAGUCCUAUAUUUUCCUUGGUUUCUGAAACAUUAAAAUUUUUUGUAACUUUGUUUAGGCCUAAAAAAAAAAUGUGUGUUUCCGGUAACAUCAUUUUAAAAAAUAGGGUCGGUAGGUCAGUAUUCUUUUUUUUUUUUUACAUUUUUUAUUUUGACAUUGUAGCGAAAUCUGGAAAUUUAUCAUAAUUUUUCCAAGUCCGGGUCCAUAAUUAGUUUCAAAUACCGAAGGUGCAGCCAUUUGCAAUGUUUUUGAAGCACCUGCUGUGCAAAUUUCUUGAAUUUAACCUAUUUGGAAUACCUUUUGACAUUAAUAAAAUGUUUUACUGGCUUUCUGUGCCAGUAGAAGCAAGUUAGAUAAAUUAUUAUGUCGAAUAACAGAAGCCUGUGUCAAAAACAGGGACUGUUGAUACCAUUUUUUUUUUGGAGAUCCAAUAAAAAAAUUAGGGUCAGGCUAAAAAACAGGGUCGGUCGGGUUACCGGAAACUCAGAUUUUUUUCUUUCUCUGCCUUAUAACAUUUACGAUUUUCAUUUUAAUCUUGAUGGUAAAUACUUUUAGUUUUAAUUAAUAUUAAUUUGAAUGCAGAAAUCACAACAAAGUUAUUUUAGACAAAUAUGACAUUUAAAGUUUGACAGCGAAAUCACUAUUUUAAUUCAAAUUUGUUUUGAAUCCAAUUUACAAACAAUUAGAAAUGAAUUAUAGAUAAAGUAAUAUUCCAUUUAUAAAUCUUUUGAAAUACAUUUAAAUAGGGUACAAAUGUAUAUUCAAAACAUAAAAUCACAAGUGCAGUAAAUUGAUGCAUUGAAUUUCUUUACAUUACAAGUUUUCCCAUAUGCACAAUGCAGUUAAAAAGAUCCUUUAUGGCAAAUUUAUUUGAAGUUAUAUUAAAAUUCAAUAAAGAUUAAAAAAGUAAAUAUACUAUAACUGAAUAUAAAUAUUCUAUUAUAAAUGCACACUUCAAAAUCAGUACUGCAUAUAUUCUAUGCUUGAUGCACAUGUAUUGAUUUCAAAAAUAAGUUUUUUUAUACCUCAUAUGUAGUGAAUGUCCAAUCAGAAUGUAAAUUCUAUUUUUAGCUGGUUGACGUGUUGUCUGGAGAUUGUGUGUUUGCUUUGCCAUGCUUUCACUUGUAGCUGUCUUGCUUUUAAAGUAGCUGGUUGCUGUUUGAAUUUUAUGAAAAACUGUGACUUGAUAGUGUGUGAUAAUUACUGUACAUUUUUGUGGACCUUUUUAUACAGUCAUGGAUAGGUAAGCCUAUAGUUGUUAUUGAUAGAUCAACUUGACCUAGAUUUACGAGCAGACGACUACUGACUGUGUAAUGUUUUGACCAGCAGAUAAAAAGGGCAUUUCAGGUCAUUCUAUUUAAUACCUUUAUUUAUAGACUGACCAUACUGAAGUGAACAAAAAUAGCCAUGGUCAGUAGUUUCACUUUGGUCACACUAUAUCUUUUUAACAAAGAAUUUUCC
This 4869-nucleotide long non-coding RNA is filed under the name Mytilus galloprovincialis (Mediterranean mussel). The record is from RNAcentral. Lineage: Eukaryota; Metazoa; Mollusca; Bivalvia; Mytilida; Mytilidae.